AUUCCAUGACGGGGACAUUCUAGGAUAUAGUCUUAGAAGCGCUUCCAUGGUUGUGGAACGGAUUCAUCAUGUUAUUGCUGAAAACUCGUAAUCUUUCCUUAGAGAGG
RNAcentral lists this small nucleolar RNA (107 nucleotides) under Sorghum bicolor (sorghum). RNAcentral describes it as "Plant small nucleolar RNA R71". It matches the Rfam family "Plant small nucleolar RNA R71". From Rfam's summary of the family: R71 is a member of the C/D box family of snoRNAs containing the C (UGAUGA) and D (CUGA) box motifs. Multiple nearly identical copies of this snoRNA have been identified in Arabidopsis, and it is thought to function as a 2'-O-ribose methylation guide for 18S ribosomal RNA. Lineage: Eukaryota; Viridiplantae; Streptophyta; Magnoliopsida; Poales; Poaceae. The record is from Rfam by way of RNAcentral.